Long non-coding RNA from Bombyx mori (domestic silkworm), 738 nucleotides. RefSeq lists it as uncharacterized. The record is from RefSeq and is a predicted model, not a curated record. Lineage: Eukaryota; Metazoa; Arthropoda; Insecta; Lepidoptera; Bombycidae. The transcript is spliced from 2 exons.
UUAGACAUUUUGUAUGACAACCACUACUAGCAGUGAUUACGACUGGAUAUAUUCUAAUACGUUCAAUUUAAUAAAUUAAAACGUUUCUAUAAAUCUUAUGUUCUUGUUCAAUUAGAGAAAAACCAUGGUAAAAUAUGGUUACAGCAAAAAAAAAAAAAUGCACUGUGUAAUAAAUUACGUCGCGUUGGGAUAAACUGCGAACGGGCUUAGAUAAACAAGCUUUGCGCCGUGGAGCGUAAGCGCAUGGCCCGUCUGUAGUGUGCGUGCGUGUGUCGUUGAACGUUUCCAGUUUUCCAAUCCGACUGGGAGGUGUUCCGGUAGACGAUAAGGAGUGAUCUGCGGAAGACAGCGUAGCAUCGUGCAGCAGACGCGAUCGAUAGUGCAGCGAGACCGCGCCUCCCCCCCCUCCCCCCUCGCUCUCUGUCCGCCGCCGGCUGAAACUUUCGCGAUAAGUACGGAACUAGCGCGUGCCGUACGCAAUGCAAUAUUGUUAGCCGGUUACGAGUCUGAAACAGCGGAUAUUAAGGCUGCGGAGACUCCGUUGUCGCGUUUUUACAUUGUGAGCUUCGAAUGAAUACCGAGUUUUCGUUGCAUUGUAUUAAUUUUAUUAUCUAACUAAAUGCUGUGGGGGUUACUGUUAAUGAUACUUUCGUGCCUCACGGUUGACGACUGUAAUUAUUCGUGACCGAAAUUAAAUUGUAAAAUUCAUGGCAUUCAUUAAAACUUUAUGAACAGAAA